This 253-nucleotide ribosomal RNA is filed under the name uncultured bacterium. Its description in RNAcentral is "partial 16S ribosomal RNA". It matches the Rfam family "Bacterial small subunit ribosomal RNA", at positions 524 to 776 of the family's 1533-position model. The record is from RNAcentral.
UACGAAGGGGGCUAGCGUUGUUCGGAAUUACUGGGCGUAAAGCGCGCGCAGGCGGCUCUUCAAGUCAGGUGUGAAAGCCCAGAGCUCAACCUUGGAACUGCCUUUGAGACUGUAGAGCUUGAGUACGGGAGAGGUGAGUGGAAUUCCCAGUGUAGAGGUGAAAUGCGUAGAUAUUGGGAAGAACACCGGUGGCGAAGGCGGCUCACUGGCCCGUUACUGACGCUCAGGCGCGACAGCGUGGGGAUCAAACAGG